GGUUAAGCGACUAAGCGUACACGGUGGAUGCCCUGGCAGUCAGAGGCGAUGAAGGACGUGCUAAUCUGCGAUAAGCGCCGGUAAGGUGAUAUGAACCGUUAUAACCGGCGAUUUCCGAAUGGGGAAACCCAGUGUGACUCGUCACACUAUCAUUAACUGAAUCCAUAGGUUAAUGAGGCGAACCGGGGGAACUGAAACAUCUAAGUA
This 207-nucleotide ribosomal RNA is filed under the name Salmonella enterica. RNAcentral's name for it is "partial 23S ribosomal RNA". It matches the Rfam family "Bacterial large subunit ribosomal RNA", at positions 1 to 208 of the family's 2925-position model. RNAcentral also lists the same sequence under 2 other names. Lineage: Bacteria; Pseudomonadati; Pseudomonadota; Gammaproteobacteria; Enterobacterales; Enterobacteriaceae. The record is from RNAcentral.